This 549-nucleotide ribosomal RNA is filed under the name Triticum aestivum (bread wheat). RNAcentral's name for it is "partial small subunit ribosomal RNA". Lineage: Eukaryota; Viridiplantae; Streptophyta; Magnoliopsida; Poales; Poaceae. The record is from RNAcentral.
AUGCUAUGUAACUGCAGGUUGAGGAUCGGUGCCGCUGCACCAAGUCGGCCGCCUUGCCCAAACCGUGUCACUGCAUUUGAGAAGGCUGUUCGAAACUAUGGUGAGAAUCCAGGAGACAAUGUGAUCACACCGACUAUUGGCACGACCUUUGAUUCUGUAGGAGAGGCGUACGACUUUUACAAUCUGUAUUCAUGGGAAAAGGGGUUUGGUAUCAGAUAUGGUAAGAGUCGGCUAAAUGUAGAGAGGAUUAAAUGCAUGCAAGAAAUCGUCUGUGGUUACUCGGGAAAAGCUGGGGUUGAGAAUACAAGAUCUUGCCGCUGUGAAUGCCAAGCUUUAAUAAGGCUCCUACGAGCACAAGAUAAUGGAUGGUAUAUUGCAGAGCACAAGGAUACUCACAACCACUCAUUGUCGCCGAACUUUGGCGAGACACUACAUUGGCCAUCACACAAGCAUAUAGAUGUAUACACAAGAGAUCUUGUGAAGCAGUUGCGGCAGAACAAUGUCAAUUUGUCUAAGGUGUAUAGCAUAAUCGGAGGUUUCUUUGGAUCG